GUUGAAGGACGCAAGCAGCUGCAACACUCUGCAGGACUUUCAAGCAGUCCAGAAGAAAGAAUUGGAAGCAGUGUAUACACCCUUCGUCCCUGAAGCCUUCGAGUUACACAAACCUUACUUCAGUCGAGAAGAUCGUACGUCAAACAGCUUGAUUGAUCCGCCUUCCAUAGCAACAGCAAAUACCAGGCCUUGUUGAUCA
Selaginella moellendorffii is the source of this 199-nucleotide long non-coding RNA. RefSeq lists it as uncharacterized. The record is from RefSeq and is a predicted model, not a curated record. The transcript has 3 exons. NCBI's taxonomy places the organism in Eukaryota, Viridiplantae, Streptophyta, Lycopodiopsida, Selaginellales, Selaginellaceae.